UGUGGGAGCGAGCCUGCUCGCGAUGGUGGAGGAUCAGUGCGGUGAUAUUGACUGAAGCACCGCCAUCGCGAGCAGGCUCGCUCCCACA
This 88-nucleotide unclassified non-coding RNA is filed under the name Pseudomonas mediterranea. The record is from RNAcentral. Lineage: Bacteria; Pseudomonadati; Pseudomonadota; Gammaproteobacteria; Pseudomonadales; Pseudomonadaceae.